CCUACGGGUGGCAGCAGUGAGGAAUAUUGGUCAAUGGACGAGAGUCUGAACCAGCCAAGUAGCGUGAAGGAUGACUGCCCUAUGGGUUGUAAACUUCUUUUAUAUGGGAAUAAAAUGUUCCACGUGUGGGAUUUUGUAUGUACCUUAUGAAUAAGGAUCGGCUAACUCCGUGCCAGCAGCCGCGGUAAUACGGAGGAUCCGAGCGUUAUCCGGAUUUAUUGGGUUUAAAGGGAGCGUAGGUGGAUUGUUAAGUCAGUUGUGAAAGUUUGCGGCUCAACCGUAAAAUUGCAGUUGAUACUGGCAGUCUUGAGUACAGUAGAGGUGGGCGGAAUUCGUGGUGUAGCGGUGAAAUGCUUAGAUAUCACGAAGAACUCCGAUUGCGAAGGCAGUUCACUGGACUGCCACUGACACUGAGGCUCGAAAGUGUGGGUAUCAAACAGGAUUAGAUACCCCAGUAGUC
This 460-nucleotide ribosomal RNA is filed under the name uncultured bacterium. Its description in RNAcentral is "partial 16S ribosomal RNA". It matches the Rfam family "Bacterial small subunit ribosomal RNA", at positions 338 to 795 of the family's 1533-position model. The record is from RNAcentral.